CUCUCUCUCUCUCUUUCCUCCACCUGCAGGAAGCAAUGGUUUACAAAAGUUCUGCAUUAAGAAACUUGGCAACCCUGAUGCAUUGCCUCGAUCGCACACCUGUUUCAACCGUAUUGAUUUGCCUCCUUAUCGAAGCUAUCACGAGCUAAAAGAGAAGCUUAAACUAGCCAUAGAGAACACCGAAGGCUUUGAAGGAGUGGAUUAGCUCAAUUGCCAUAGACACAGCACCCAGCCACACUCCAUGCCUCUAUAUACUUUUGUGUUUAUGUAUACUUAGACUAUUAUUUUUGUAUGAUGUAUGUAUUAAUACUCUUACUAUUAUCAGUGCUAUUUAUUUUUGUAUGGUACAUAUAAUGUAGGAUGCUGGAAUUAUUAUUGUUCUAAGUGCAUUAUAUAUUAUAUUAUACACACAUAUAUAUUUAUUUAAUUACUAUUUAUAUUAUUGCUUUGUGUGUGUGCUUUCUUGUAUUUAUUUUUUCAGUUCUCCUUCAUCUAUUUUUACAUACAUGUACUUAGAAAGACUACGUUAUUAUUAUUAUUAUCAUUAUUUGUUGCUGUUGUAAUGCUGGCCUGCUAUGUUCAGGCUCUCUCUCUAUUUUUUAAAUUAUUAUUAUUAUUAUUAUAUGUACAUGUGUUAUUAAAUUCUAAGUUAAAAUGCUAUGAAACCUUUUGCGUGUCCUUUUGUAAACAAA
This is a long non-coding RNA of Amphimedon queenslandica, 692 nucleotides long. RefSeq lists it as uncharacterized. NCBI's taxonomy places the organism in Eukaryota, Metazoa, Porifera, Demospongiae, Haplosclerida, Niphatidae. The transcript has 2 exons. The record is from RefSeq and is a predicted model, not a curated record.